GACGUAGGAGGCGAGCGUUGUCCGGAUUCAUUGGGCGUAAAGGGCGCGUAGGCGGCGGGGUAAGUCUGGUGUGAAAUCUAGGAGCUCAACUCCUAAACUGCACUGGAUACUGCUCUGCUAGAGGACUGGAGAGGAGACUGGAAUUCACGGUGUAGCAGUGAAAUGCGUAGAUAUCGUGAGGAAGACCAGUGGCGAAGGCGGGUCUCUGGACAGUUCCUGACGCUGAGGCGCGAAGGCCAGGGGAGCAAACGGG
RNAcentral lists this ribosomal RNA (253 nucleotides) under uncultured bacterium. RNAcentral describes it as "partial 16S ribosomal RNA". It matches the Rfam family "Bacterial small subunit ribosomal RNA", at positions 524 to 776 of the family's 1533-position model. The record is from RNAcentral.